AACGAACGCUGGCGGCAUGCCUAACACAUGCAAGUCGAACGAGACCUUCGGGUCUAGUGGCGCACGGGUGCGUAACGCGUGGGAACCUGCCCUUAGGUUCGGAAUAACUCCCCGAAAGGGGUGCUAAUACCGGAUAAUGUCUUCGGACCAAAGAUUUAUUGCCUUUGGAUGGGCCCGCGUUGGAUUAGCCUGUUGGUAGGGUAAAAGCCUACCAAGGCGACGAUCCAUAGCUGGUCUGAGAGGAUGAUCAGCCACACUGGGACUGAGACACGGCCCAGACUCCUACGGGAGGCAGCAGUGGGGAAUAUUGGACAAUGGGCGAAAGCCUGAUCCAGCAAUGCCGCGUGAGUGAUGAAGGCCUUAGGGUUGUAAAGCUCUUUUACCCGGGAUGAUAAUGACAGUACCGGGAGAAUAAGCGCCGGCUAACUCCGUG
Molecule: ribosomal RNA, 433 nt
Filed under: uncultured bacterium
Lineage: Bacteria
Description: partial 16S ribosomal RNA
Rfam family: Bacterial small subunit ribosomal RNA
Source: RNAcentral